GGGGCUGUCCCUUAGGGGCGUGGCCAUAGAGGGCUCUGGGCAGUGAUCUGGGAGCAUCUUCCAGCCUUUAGAGGUGGUUAUGGAUGUUCAUCCUGAGUGUCUCCUUCACCCCACCAGACCUCAAAGGAGACCGGGAGACGGGGAUGCAAAGCUAGAGGAAAAACUAAAACUUAACGGCGAAAUCCUCACAAGCUAUUUGGACAGUUUCAUGCAGCAUGAAUCAUUAUAAGCUUGUCUUUCAUAGAAAAAAGGUGUUGGGGAAUCGUAAUGGCUCUGAUACCUGCAGGAAGGGGCAGUACCAUGGCCAUCCAACAGCAAGCAGCUUGGAAGAAGCCAAGGUGACAUGAUCGUGACCUUGAAAGACAGGUGCUGGAAUGGUUCCUGGCCAUCUUCUAGCCUCAUUAGCUUCUGUUGAGGACCAGUUUAGCCAUGAAGUCUUGACAACCUCCUGCUCCCCAGCAGUACCUGCUACUGAGCAGGAGCAGGAAGUCGAUUGGAAGAGCCGGCAAGGGCAUUCCCAGUGCCAGGCAGUUGUGCAGUUCAAUUCAAAUCAGUUCUACUCAACACAGAUAUCUUGGCUGCUCCCUCAUUCUCAGCAUGAUGCUAUCACUGUAGAUUCAACCAGGAUCUCAUAAUUGUGAACCUUUCCAUCAAAACCAUUGAUUAAAUGUGCAAAUAAGUGGGUUUACUU
RNAcentral lists this long non-coding RNA (691 nucleotides) under Bos indicus x Bos taurus (hybrid cattle). RNAcentral describes it as "lncRNA (ENSBIXG00000003264.1)". The record is from RNAcentral. Lineage: Eukaryota; Metazoa; Chordata; Mammalia; Artiodactyla; Bovidae.